UACGGAGGAUGCGAGCGUUAUCCGGAUUUAUUGGGUUUAAAGGGUGCGCAGGCGGGGGAUUAAGUCGGCGGUGAAAUUUUGCAGCUCAACUGUAAAAGUGCCUUCGAAACUGGUUUCCUUGAGUGUAGAUGAAGUAGGCGGAAUUUGUGGUGUAGCGGUGAAAUGCAUAGAUAUCACGAGGAACUCCGAUUGCGCAGGCAGCUUACUAAACUACUACUGACGCUCAGGCACGAAGGCGUGGGGAUCAAACAGGAUUAGAUACCCCCGUAGU
This 271-nucleotide ribosomal RNA is filed under the name uncultured prokaryote. RNAcentral's name for it is "partial 16S ribosomal RNA". It matches the Rfam family "Bacterial small subunit ribosomal RNA", at positions 524 to 794 of the family's 1533-position model. The record is from RNAcentral.